ACGCUCCCUCUCACUUUCCCUCUCCCUCUCCCCAAACUACCUAAAGCCUCUCUCUCCUCCCUUUCUCCCUCUCUCUCUGCAACUCAAAAGAAAAAAGACUUUUUGGUCCGUCCCAUGGCGGUUCUGAACCGCGUUCUGAGAUCACGACGACCGGGAAGCUUCUUCUUACUCCGGAGCUUCCGCUCCUCGUCUUUUCUAAAUUCCGAAACUGACCUCAAAGCGUCUGCCUCCGUCAUCCCAAAGCCCCUUCCCCUGCAUCGCGACGUCAACGACAGGAAUGUCCAGUGGGUCUUCCUCGGCUGCCCCGGCGUCGGAAAAGGCACCUACGCCUCCCGCCUCUGCCACCUCCUCGGCGUCCCUCACAUCGCCACCGGCGAUCUCGUCCGCGACGAGCUCGCUGCCUCCGGCCCCUUGGCUCUUCAGCUUGCGGAGGUUGUGAAUCAGGGGAAAUUGGUUUCGGAUGAGAUUAUAAUAAACUUGUUGUCCAAGCGUCUUGAGGCUAGUGCAGCUAAGGGUGAAACUGGCUUCAUUCUUGACGGUUUUCCGAGGACGAUUCGACAGGCGGAAAUUUUGGAGGGAGUGACAGACAUUGACUUGGUUGUCAACCUAAAGCUUCGUGAAGAGGCUUUGCUUGCGAAGUGUCUUGGAAGGAGGAUUUGUAGUGAGUGUGGAGGAAAUUACAAUGUUGCCUCCAUUCACAUUAAGGCCGAGGAUGGGAACCCUGGCAUGUACAUGGCUCCACUUCUUCCCCCUCCACAAUGUGCAUUAAAGCUGAUCACGAGAUCCGAUGACACUGAAGAAGUUGUUAAGGAGCGACUUCGUAUAUACAAUGAUAUGAGUCAACCCGUGGAGGAGUUCUACCGAAGUCGGGGAAAAUUGUUAGAGUUUGAUCUUCCCGGAGGGAUUCCCGAAUCCUGGCCAAAGCUACUUCAGGCUUUGAAUCUGGAAGACCCUGAAGACAAAUGGUCUGCAGCAGCAUGAUUCAUAAAUCCUGUACUAUAUACACUAGACAAAGUUUUCAUUAGGUAAGCUAUAUCAUUCUUUGCAAUGUCAUGGAAGCAGAUGCAUAUAAUUUGCAAUUGAAGGGGAAAACUUUGGUGUGCAAUAAAAAGCAGGUUUAAAGUUAGAGUUCCCUCUCCCCCCUCCCCCUCGUUGCAAUUUGCUUGGGUCAGAGUGAUACUUCUCAUUCCAGCGUCAGAAGAGGUUUAAAGUUAGAGUUCCCUCUCCCCCCUCGAACGAGGGACAAAGGGGAAUGGACAUGUUGCAUUAUGUGGGUUCUAACCAUGUAAAGAAUAAAAUGUUGGAUCGGACGAGGGUUAGCGUCGUUCGGAAUCCAAUCUGGUGGUGGUUGAUGCUGAUGCUUAAAGUUUUGUUUCUGUAUUUGUCAAUAGAAGAUAGAUUUAUCGACUUGUAAACCAUCUGAGGUAUAUUAAUCAACUUUGCACCUUGAAAAUA
Pyrus x bretschneideri (Chinese white pear) is the source of this 1455-nucleotide RNA transcript. It is a transcript of the gene named probable adenylate kinase 6, chloroplastic, with no coding region annotated. The transcript is spliced from 5 exons. The record is from RefSeq and is a predicted model, not a curated record. NCBI's taxonomy places the organism in Eukaryota, Viridiplantae, Streptophyta, Magnoliopsida, Rosales, Rosaceae.